Molecule: ribosomal RNA, 498 nt
Filed under: uncultured Enterobacteriaceae bacterium
Lineage: Bacteria; Pseudomonadati; Pseudomonadota; Gammaproteobacteria; Enterobacterales; Enterobacteriaceae
Description: bacterial SSU rRNA
Rfam family: Bacterial small subunit ribosomal RNA
Source: RNAcentral
GAGCCCGCUCAAGAAACUUAAAGGAAUUGACGGGGGCCCGCACAAGCGGUGGAGCAUGUGGUUUAAUUCGAUGCAACGCGAAGAACCUUACCUGGUCUUGACGUCCACGGAAGACUGCAGAGAUGCGGUUGUGCCUUCGGGGACCGUGAGACAGGUGCUGCAUGGCUGUCGUCAGCUCGUGUUGUGAAAUGUUGGGUUAAGUCCCGCAACGAGCGCAACCCUUAUCCUUUGUUGCCAGCGGUCCGGCCGGGAACUCAAAGGAGACUGCCAGUGAUAAACUGGAGGAAGGUGGGGAUGACGUCAAGUCAUCAUGGCCCUUACGACCAGGGCUACACACGUGCUACAAUGGCAUAUACAAAGAGAAGCGACCUCGCGAGAGCAAGCGGACCUCAUAAAGUAUGUCGUAGUCCGGAUUGGAGUCUGCAACUCGACUCCAUGAAGUCGGAAUCGCUAGUAAUCGUGGAUCAGAAUGCCACGGUGAAUACGUUCCCGGGCCUU